CCUACGGGGGGCAGCAGUGAGGAAUAUUGGUCAAUGGGAGAGAUCCUGAACCAGCCAAGCCGCGUGAGGGAAGACGGCCCUAUGGGUUGUAAACCUCUUUUGUCGGAGAACAAAACCCGGGACGUGUCCCGGACUGCGUGUAUCCGAAGAAAAAGCAUCGGCUAACUCCGUGCCAGCAGCCGCGGUAAUACGGAGGAUGCGAGCGUUAUCCGGAUUUAUUGGGUUUAAAGGGUGCGCAGGCGGUCUGUUAAGUCAGCGGUCAAAGCCCGGGGCUCAACCCCGGCCCGCCGUUGAAACUGGCAGUCUCGAGUUGGAGAGAAGUAUGCGGAAUGCGCGGUGUAGCGGUGAAAUGCAUAGAUAUCGCGCAGAACUCCGAUUGCGAAGGCAGCAUGCCGGCUCCACACUGACGCUGAGGCACGAAAGCGUGGGUAUCGAACAGGAUUAGAUACCCCAGUAGUC
Molecule: ribosomal RNA, 459 nt
Filed under: uncultured bacterium
Lineage: Bacteria
Description: partial 16S ribosomal RNA
Rfam family: Bacterial small subunit ribosomal RNA
Source: RNAcentral